GAUGAACGCUGGCGGCGUGCCUAAUACAUGCAAGUCGAGCGAACGGACGAGAAGCUUGCUUCUCUGAUGUUAGCGGCGGACGGGUGAGUAACACGUGGAUAACCUACCUAUAAGACUGGGAUAACUUCGGGAAACCGGAGCUAAUACCGGAUAAUAUUUUGAACCGCACGGUUCAAAAGUGAAAGACGGUCUUGCUGUUACUUAUAGAUGGAUCCGCGCUGCAGUAGCUAGUUGGUAAGGUAACGGCUUACCAAGGCAACGAUGCAUAGCCGACCUGCGAGGGUGAUCGGCCACACUGGAACUGAGACACGGUCCAGACUCCUACGGGAGGCAGCAGUAGGGAAUCUUCCGCAAUGGGCGAAAGCCUGACGGAGCAACGCCGCGUGAGUGAUGAAGGUCUUCGGAUCGUAAAACUCUGUUAUUAGGGAAGAACAUAUGUGUAAGUAACUGUGCACAUCUUGACGGUACCGAAUCAGAAAGCCACGGCUAACUACGU
This 496-nucleotide ribosomal RNA is filed under the name uncultured bacterium. Its description in RNAcentral is "partial 16S ribosomal RNA". It matches the Rfam family "Bacterial small subunit ribosomal RNA", at positions 28 to 506 of the family's 1533-position model. The record is from RNAcentral.